GUAAAGUUGGUACAUACACACUCACGUGUGUAGAACUUACAUAACACAGGUACCGCAAACGUCUUACUCCGAUUUAUUUUUGAAAAAUGGCUGGUAUUGCUCCUCAGGCGUGCAGAAAUGUGUUUCGACAAGUCAGAGGUUUCCAUAUCUCUGCAAAUCAAAAUGCUGAAGCCAGACUAAAAACCUUCUCUGUGUACCGUUGGAAUCCUGAUAAGCCAGAUGAAAAGCCCUAUAUGCAAGAGUAUAAAGUAGACCUAAACACUUGUGGUCCUAUGAUUUUGGAUGCAUUGAUUAAAAUUAAAAAUGAAAUUGAUCCAACUUUAACUUUCCGUCGUUCCUGUCGUGAAGGCAUUUGUGGUUCUUGUGCUAUGAAUAUUGGUGGUACAAACACAUUAGCAUGUAUCAGCAAAAUUGAUACUAAUUUAAAUACAGUUAGUAAGAUCUAUCCUUUACCACAUAUGUAUAUAGUGAAAGAUUUAAUCCCAGAUAUGAACAACUUUUAUACUCAAUAUAAAAGUAUACAGCCAUGGUUGCAACGUGGUGAGGGUAAAGAUACUGGGAAAAAGCAGUAUUUGCAAAGCGUUGAAGACCGUAAAAAAUUGGAUGGUCUCUAUGAGUGCAUCUUAUGUGCUUGCUGCAGUACUUCUUGCCCAUCAUAUUGGUGGAAUGGUGAUAAGUAUUUAGGACCUGCUGUGCUUAUGCAGGCAUAUAGAUGGAUCAUUGAUUCACGUGAUAACAAAACAGCUGAACGUCUCGAAAAGUUAAAAGAUCCUUAUUCAGUAUAUCGUUGCCAUACUAUUAUGAAUUGUACUCGUACUUGUCCAAAGGGCUUGAAUCCUGGGAAAGCAAUUGCUGAAAUAAAGAAAUUGCUAGCUAAUAUUAGUCAAAAAGAGAAACCAGGCCUUGAUGCUACUGCAUAAUUAUGUAGAAUAAAAUGAAGAAUAGAGAAUUACUAUUCAUAAUGUCUUUUACUACGAGUAAAACUUAAUUCCCCAAUAAUAUAGCGAUGACGUAUUAUUGCUAAUGCAAAUUUCUUAAAACAUUCAAUAGUUUUUUAAUUAGUAGCACAUUUGUUGGAUAUGUAUUUUACCCUGCUUUUAGUAUAAAAGCAGGGAUAAACAUGACAGUUUCUAAUUCGAAGUAAAUUUUAAUAUUGUUAAAAACAGAUGCGUAUACGACACUAGAAACUCGUACAUUAUAAUAAAAUUAGAAUAAAUCAUGCAUUCGUAAGAUAUGUCAGAGAAUAAGAGUCUUAAAUUUUCAAAGAUUCAAUUUUUGCAUAAGAAACGCAUCAGAUGCAUGAUAUGCUGAAUUGAGAACUAUCUACAAAUAUUUCAAAAUUGUUAAAGAUUAAAAGUGCAUUGCAUUAUAAUGAGAUCUAUGGUUCAGCAGCCAUUCUACUUCUUGCUGUUUCCCUUGACCGAUUGUGGACCUCUGCUGUUCGUAGCGUAAUACCAAAUAUAUCUUCGUG
Megachile rotundata (alfalfa leafcutting bee) is the source of this 1471-nucleotide RNA transcript. It is a transcript of the gene named Succinate dehydrogenase, subunit B (iron-sulfur), with no coding region annotated. Lineage: Eukaryota; Metazoa; Arthropoda; Insecta; Hymenoptera; Megachilidae. The record is from RefSeq and is a predicted model, not a curated record.